RNAcentral lists this long non-coding RNA (2602 nucleotides) under Citrus sinensis (sweet orange). RNAcentral describes it as "long non-coding RNA (CSIN_LNC000643)". The record is from RNAcentral. Lineage: Eukaryota; Viridiplantae; Streptophyta; Magnoliopsida; Sapindales; Rutaceae.
AACUACUUUAACAAACAAUCCACCAAUGAAGCAGGCCAAACCCCACCCCACAAACCAAAAAAAAAACCCAUAAAUAAUAGGCAUUCGCUCCGCGACCAUAUCCCAUUUCUUCCGCACCAGGCCGUGGGGACUUGACCUUACUAAAAGAUGGCCACUCAAAAAAUUGGACUUGCUUGCGAUCGGAAACUGGAGAAGAACAGAAGCUUGAUGUAUUUGCAAUUUCUGUACACUUGCACUCCUAAAUUCGGUCCCCAAAGGAUUACGACUGAAUCAAAACUUCCCAAACAAACUGAUGACACACUAAAAAUUGGCACCAGGUAAACUGAAUAAAUAUUCUAUGAACACAAAUCAAACUUGUUAAUCAUAAACGGCCAACCCAGCUGCUUGCUGUUUACAAGCAAGAUACUUGUAGAAAUGGAAUCGAUCCCUUAAGUAAAGCACAAAUCAACCUCUUGCAGUCAUCAACAGUGGCACGUUAUUUUCUGAGGGUAUUAUCUUUUUCGCUUUUAAGGACUAUGCAAAUUCCGUAAUUGGUCCACCACAUCAAAGGAACUGCUUAGACGUUGGUAAUCAGACCGAGGAAGAACAUUUCCUGGGAUCUGCGCAGAUUCAUUGGGUUUAUGAUCCUCUCUUUUUGUUUUGGCUGAAAAACAGUGUCGCACACGGAUGCGAUGAUUUCUUGUCUCAGUUGAAUACCUGCCACGAACCUUAAGCACCAGCACAACUUCCUGGUCUCUUGUGUCUUCACACCACCAGUUUUGCGGGACACCAUCAACAAACUCUUCAAGGGUCUGAAAGUCCUCGUGAUGAACUGACAUUUCUGCUGUGCGAUCUGGUUUGAUCAUGCCAGUAGCAGGUGUGACCUAGUUCAAACAAUACAAAUAGAUGAAACUAAAACAAUCACAAAACUAGAUUCAGUACAUCUGAAAGGAUAGAAACAAAAACAUUCAAUGAUUCCCCUGCAUAUACAUUCCUACACAUGCACAAUCAUAGACACACAAAUGUCAUUAUCAAAUGCACAUGUAAAUGCAUAGACACCUACACAAAUACAUCCAUGCAUGCCCAAACACAUACAUGCACGCAUAAAGAUAUAGCAGGAAAAUGCAUAAGACUAAUCAAUUUGGUCAAUGGCCAAAAUGAGGCAAGGAUAAACGAAAAUAUGGUCUAUUAUCUAAGGGGAAGGGAAUAACAAAUGAGGUGUCAGAUUAAUUCAUCUUCUUUUUCUUCUUUUGUUUUUCUAUUUAAAAGGAAAAAAAAUUAUUCAAAUCCGAAAAUCAAUGGACAAAAGAAGGCAAUAUGCUGUCCACAGAAAAGAUCAGUAAUCGCAAAUGCCCUACAGGGAGCAGAGACUUGACAAGAUAAACACUCUCAAAAAUAGACAAAAGACCAGGAAAUUUGACCACUGUUGCUUCCCAGUUAUACAAGACAAAAAGAAGGGGUUUUUAAACUCUAAUGAGGUAGAGACCCAAAACUCUGUCCCAGAGGUACAGAAGUAACAAAUAUCAUCCCCCAACCCCUCCUCUAUAGGCUUCAAAAUAUAUUUGAUUUCUUUCUAUUAUGGAAGCCUUCUUUUGACCCUUGAAAAAAAAAAAUGUAAAGCUGCUGUACGGCCAAGGCGGAUGUACGGUACAGCAGUUCGUCGCUACAUCACAAUGACCACGCAUUUUAUAUCGUAAUUUGAAAACUCAUAAAGAUAUCAGUGUGCAAAAUGACAAUUAAGAGAGAAAUUUCAAAUCAAUUAAAAUUAGAGAUGAGUUGCUAAACUGCUAAGAAUUUAUAAAACUUAUUGGAAUCAGUCAACUACUUUAACAAACAAUCCACCAAUGAAGCAGGCCAAACCCCACCCCACAAACCAAAAAAAAAACCCAUAAAUAAUAGGCAUUCGCUCCGCGACCAUAUCCCAUUUCUUCCGCACCAGGCCGUGGGGACUUGACCUUACUAAAAGAUGGCCACUCAAAAAAUUGGACUUGCUUGCGAUCGGAAACUGGAGAAGAACAGAAGCUUGAUGUAUUUGCAAUUUCUGUACACUUGCACUCCUAAAUUCGGUCCCCAAAGGAUUACGACUGAAUCAAAACUUCCCAAACAAACUGAUGACACACUAAAAAUUGGCACCAGGUAAACUGAAUAAAUAUUCUAUGAACACAAAUCAAACUUGUUAAUCAUAAACGGCCAACCCAGCUGCUUGCUGUUUACAAGCAAGAUACUUGUAGAAAUGGAAUCGAUCCCUUAAGUAAAGCACAAAUCAACCUCUUGCAGUCAUCAACAGUGGCACGUUAUUUUCUGAGGGUAUUAUCUUUUUCGCUUUUAAGGACUAUGCAAAUUCCGUAAUUGGUCCACCACAUCAAAGGAACUGCUUAGACGUUGGUAAUCAGACCGAGGAAGAACAUUUCCUGGGAUCUGCGCAGAUUCAUUGGGUUUAUGAUCCUCUCUUUUUGUUUUGGCUGAAAAACAGUGUCGCACACGGAUGCGAUGAUUUCUUGUCUCAGUUGAAUACCUGCCACGAACCUUAAGCACCAGCACAACUUCCUGGUCUCUUGUGUCUUCACACCACCAGUUUUGCGGGACACCAUCAACAAACUCUUCAAGGGUCUGAAAGUCCUCG